ACGUAGGGUGCAAGCGUUAAUCGGAAUUACUGGGCGUAAAGCGUGCGCAGGCGGCUUUGCAAGACAGAUGUGAAAUCCCCGGGCUCAACCUGGGAACUGCAUUUGUGACUGCAUGGCUAGAGUGCGGCAGAGGGGGAUGGAAUUCCGCGUGUAGCAGUGAAAUGCGUAGAUAUGCGGAGGAACACCGAUGGCGAAGGCAAUCCCCUGGGCCUGCACUGACGCUCAUGCACGAAAGCGUGGGGAGCAAACAGGA
This 253-nucleotide ribosomal RNA is filed under the name uncultured bacterium. RNAcentral describes it as "partial 16S ribosomal RNA". It matches the Rfam family "Bacterial small subunit ribosomal RNA", at positions 525 to 777 of the family's 1533-position model. The record is from RNAcentral.